RNAcentral lists this ribosomal RNA (220 nucleotides) under Saccharibacillus soli. RNAcentral describes it as "Saccharibacillus sp. O16 partial 16S ribosomal RNA". It matches the Rfam family "Bacterial small subunit ribosomal RNA", at positions 1 to 211 of the family's 1533-position model. The record is from RNAcentral. Lineage: Bacteria; Bacillati; Bacillota; Bacilli; Caryophanales; Paenibacillaceae.
UUAAUGGAGAGUUUGAUCCUGGCUCAGGACGAACGCUGGCGGCAUGCCUAAUACAUGCAAGUCGAGCGGACUAGAUGAAGAAGCUUGCUUCUUCUGACGGUUAGCGGCGGACGGGUGAGUAACACGUAGGCAACCUGCCUUUCAGUUUGGGAUAACUUCCGGAAACGGAUGCUAAUACCGAAUACAUCAUCUUCUGGCAUCAGAGAAUGAGGAAAGACGG